GACGAACGCUGGCGGCGUGCUUAAUACAUGCAAGUCGAACGGAAAGGCCCUGCUCUUGUGGGGUGCUCGUGUGCCGAACGCGUGAGUAUCACGCGUGUAACCUGCCCUUGACUUUGGGAUAACUUCUGGGAACUGGGGCGCUAAUCCCAUAUGAGCUCCUGCUGCACGGUGGUGAUUGGUAAGUUUCGGCGGUUCGGGAUGGACUCGCGGCUUAUCCGCUUGUUGGUGGGGUAGUGGCUUACCAAGGCUUUGACGGGUAGCCGGCCUGAGAGGGUGACCGGCCACAAUGGGACUGAGGGACGGCCCAGAGUGCUACGGGAGGCAGCAGUGGGAAACAUUGCACGAGGGGCGGAGGGCGGGUGCAGCAACGCCGCGUGCGGGAAGACGGUCUUCGGGGUGUAAACCGAUUGCGCCUGUAACGAAGCUUGAGUGACGGUAAUGGGUAAAGAAGCACCGGCUAACUACGCG
This 468-nucleotide ribosomal RNA is filed under the name uncultured bacterium. Its description in RNAcentral is "partial 16S ribosomal RNA". It matches the Rfam family "Bacterial small subunit ribosomal RNA", at positions 28 to 507 of the family's 1533-position model. The record is from RNAcentral.